GAUGAACGCUGGCGGCGUGCCUAAUACAUGCCAGUCGAGCGAACGGACGAGAAGCUUGCUUCUCUGAUGUUAGCGGCGGACGGGUGAGUAACACGUGGAUAACCUACCUAUAAGACUGGGAUAACUUCGGGAAACCGGAGCUAAUACCGGAUAAUAUUUUGAACCGCAUGGUUCAAAAGUGAAAGACGGUCUUGCUGUCACUUAUAGAUGGAUCCGCGCUGCAUUAGCUAGUUGGUAAGGUAACGGCUUACCAAGGCAACGAUGCAUAGCCGACCUGAGAGGGGGAUCGGCCACACUGGAACUGAGACACGGUCCAGACUCCUACGGGAGGCAGCAGUAGGGAAUCUUCCGCAAUGGGCGAAAGCCUGACGGAGCAACGCCGCGUGAGUGAUGAAGGUCUUCGGAUCGUAAAACUCUGUUAUUAGGGAAGAACAUAUGUGUAAGUAACUGUGCACAUCUUGACGGUACCUAAUCAGAAAGCCACGGCUAACUACGU
RNAcentral lists this ribosomal RNA (496 nucleotides) under uncultured bacterium. RNAcentral's name for it is "partial 16S ribosomal RNA". It matches the Rfam family "Bacterial small subunit ribosomal RNA", at positions 28 to 506 of the family's 1533-position model. The record is from RNAcentral.